AUAAGACUCUGAUGAAUCUAAUGCAUAACAAUUACUUAGAAGAUUUAUAUAUGAAGAAAGCAGUAAUUUCACCUAUAUCUAAAAUUAUGUUAUAUAAGAUAUUAUUGAGAAGUCUAGAUAUACCUAAGACACUCAGACAACAAAUUGCAAUGAUAAGGUGAUACAAAAUAAGCCCCUUAUGCCAUAUUAGAACAGAAUACCGAAUACCUCUUUAAUUGCGUAUCCAACCCACUACCCAAAACAGGUUACUACAGAACUACCGUUAAUUCUUAGAAAUGAAGAGGACAAUCCUAUUACUUGAUCCAGUAAGUAUACAACCCAGAAGAGUAAAAGAUAAUAGUAUUGUUCUCCUCAACAGUCCACUCUGGUGUUUACUAUAUCCCAGAACCAGAAUGGGAGUGAGAAGGAAAUCCUACAAAAUGCUAAAGUAAAAGAUACAUUCUGGGAACUAAACAUGUCAGAGAAUUGACCUCCUGGAGAGAGAGAUAAAAAAUUGGAACUAUGACUUUAAAGCUAGAGCCACUCGUAAACAGCUUGACUUAUUACAUUGACAGCUUGUUAAAUUACUUCUUCGGAAGCUUGAGUAUGAAUAUAAACUAAGGUUAGGUAAAGAAACCAGCUCCUGUGACUGUUACAACUCCAUUUUUGCUUAGGAUAAACUGACAAACCUGAGAAUAGAACUGACAGCCACAGAACAAAUGAUUAGGAGAUUCUGUACAUGACACAUUGACACAGCAAACAAGAGCCAUCCAUAGUCACUCCCCAUGAGAACAAUCUGUCCUUUUAUAGCAAGCUGCCUAUGAAAAGCUAACCACUGAAUGAAAGACCACCUAAGCACGUGAUGGGCUUUUUUGGUAAAAUUUCUAUUCGAUUUAUUACCCAACUCUCAAUCUGAGCCCUGUAGACUUCAAGGGAUCUGAGUUAGCAGAACAAUUCAAUUCUGGCAAUUGAAUCACCACAUCAUAUACCAUCACUCAUUUGAAUCUCUCAUCUUAAUCUCAGGGACGGCUCUGAGUUUUUUGGGGCCAGAUGCGAACUAUUUAAAUGGGCCCCCCAUAUCAUUCACAAAA
Molecule: long non-coding RNA, 1070 nt
Organism: Rhododendron vialii
Lineage: Eukaryota; Viridiplantae; Streptophyta; Magnoliopsida; Ericales; Ericaceae
Exons: 2
Source: RefSeq, a predicted model, not a curated record